GGGCUCGUGGUCUAGCGGCUAUGACGUCGCCCUUACAAGGCGGAGACCGCCGGUUCGAAUCCGGCCGGGCCCA
Thermoplasmatales archaeon I-plasma is the source of this 73-nucleotide transfer RNA. It matches the Rfam family "tRNA". Rfam says of the family: Transfer RNA (tRNA) molecules are approximately 80 nucleotides in length. Lineage: Archaea; Methanobacteriati; Thermoplasmatota; Thermoplasmata; Thermoplasmatales. The record is from Rfam.